Lonchura striata (white-rumped munia) is the source of this 529-nucleotide non-coding RNA. NCBI's taxonomy places the organism in Eukaryota, Metazoa, Chordata, Aves, Passeriformes, Estrildidae. The record is from RefSeq and is a predicted model, not a curated record.
AUCCUUUGGGACCAGCUUUUCUUCCAGCAGGGGAUGGUGUGAGCUGGGCUCUGCGGGUGCUGAGGCUGCUCUGGGCUCUGCCAGGGCCCUGCUGGAGCUCAGCACCGGGCUGCAAUCAGCCAAAGGAGAAAUGGGGUGACCUGCAGCACAGACUUGCUUGAGCAUUUCAGAAACACAGCUCAAGUUUGUAGAGUGUACACCUCCAAGGGAAAACAUGCCACCACCCAAAAAAUAAACUCGUUCAAUAACUUCUGAAAUGAAAACAAUCUGGGAUGAUCCCUAAUGACUUUUUGCAGCUUGCUCACGCAGUAGCUCAGCCCUUCUCUGAACUGUUCUCUCCCCCAGCUGCCUUUUACUUCCCAACUGCUCCCUCUUUUCCCCCAGUGAGCUCCCAGCCCAUUCCAAUCUCCAUCACACUGUUGCCUUCCUUGGUGCCCCUCGCCAUGAGGAAGGCCGAGCCCCAGGCUUAGGGACUCAUCCUGUCACUGGCUGAGGAGCAGCAAUGUCUCAGAGGUCCAGUGGGAUUUUA